Molecule: unclassified non-coding RNA, 287 nt
Filed under: Hevea brasiliensis (rubber tree)
Lineage: Eukaryota; Viridiplantae; Streptophyta; Magnoliopsida; Malpighiales; Euphorbiaceae
Source: RNAcentral
GGUCCUUACAGAUUUACUAUUGAGGUACAGCAGUUGCAUCUCUUAUUUAUCCAAUAGUUUGCCAUAGUUUGCCAUUCUAGAAACAAAAUAUCUUGGAAGUUUGUGACAGCCUUUUACAGUGCCUACUGCAUGAUGUAUUUGAGAAAAAUUUUGGCUAAUAAUGCUAUAAUUUCUCCCUCCUCCAAACAGCUUGAACCUGUCCUGAAGCUCAUAGUGCAUCAAAUGAAAUUUCCAAUCAUUUUAUUUCUCAACAGUUCUUUAUUUAUUAAUAUAAUGUUUGCUUUGGC